AAAGGAAUAGACGGGGGCCCGCACAAGCAGUGGAGUAUGUGGUUUAAUUCGAAGCAACGCGAAGAACCUUACCAGGUCUUGACAUCGUAUGCAUAUCUAAGAGAUUAGAGAAAUCCCUUCGGGGACAUAUAGACAGGUGGUGCAUGGUUGUCGUCAGCUCGUGUCGUGAGAUGUUGGGUUAAGUCCCGCAACGAGCGCAACCCUUACCAUUAGUUGCUACGUAAGAGCACUCUAAUGGGACUGCCGUUGACAAAACGGAGGAAGGUGGGGAUGACGUCAAAUCAUCAUGCCCCUUAUGACCUGGGCUACACACGUACUACAAUGGCAAUUAACAGAGGGACGCAAUACAGUGAUGUGGAGCAAAUCCCCAAAAAUUGCCUCAGUUCGGAUUGCAGGCUGAAACUCGCCUGCAUGAAGUCGGAAUUGCUAGUAAUCGCAGAUCAGAAUGCUGCGGUGAAUACGUUCCCGGGCCUUGUACACACCGCCCGU
RNAcentral lists this ribosomal RNA (489 nucleotides) under uncultured bacterium. RNAcentral's name for it is "bacterial SSU rRNA". It matches the Rfam family "Bacterial small subunit ribosomal RNA", at positions 903 to 1397 of the family's 1533-position model. The record is from RNAcentral.